This 464-nucleotide ribosomal RNA is filed under the name uncultured bacterium. RNAcentral describes it as "partial 16S ribosomal RNA". It matches the Rfam family "Bacterial small subunit ribosomal RNA", at positions 28 to 507 of the family's 1533-position model. The record is from RNAcentral.
GACGAACGCUGGCGGCGUGCUUAACACAUGCAAUCGAACGGAAAGGCCCUGCUUGCCGGGUACUCGAGUGGCGAACGGGUGGGGAACACGGGGGUGAUCUGCCCUGGACUUCGGGGUAAGCCUGGGAAACUGGGUCUAAUACCGGGUAGGAGCCAUUUUUAGGGUGGUGGUUGGAAAGGUUUUUUGGUGUAGGAGGGGCUCGCGGCCUAUCAGCUUGUUGGUGGGGUAAUGGCCUACCAAGGCGGCGACGGGUAGCCGGCCUGAGAGGGUGGACGGCCACAUUGGGACUGAGAUACGGCCCAGACUCCUACGGGAGGCAGCAGUGGGGAAUAUUGCACAAUGGGCGCAAGCCUGAUGCAGCGACGCCGCGUGGGGGAUGACGGCCUUCGGGUUGUAAACUCCUUUCGCUAGGGACGAAGCUUUUUGUGACGGUACCUAGAGAAGAAGCACCGGCUAACUACGUG